RNAcentral lists this ribosomal RNA (253 nucleotides) under uncultured bacterium. Its description in RNAcentral is "partial 16S ribosomal RNA". It matches the Rfam family "Bacterial small subunit ribosomal RNA", at positions 524 to 776 of the family's 1533-position model. The record is from RNAcentral.
UACGUAGGGUGCGAGCGUUGUCCGGAAUUAUUGGGCGUAAAGAGCUUGUAGGCGGUCUGUCGCGUCUGCCGUGAAAAUCCGGGGCUCAACCCCGGACUUGCAGUGGGUACGGGCAGACUAGAGUGUGGUAGGGGAGACUGGAAUUCCUGGUGUAGCGGUGAAAUGCGCAGAUAUCAGGAGGAACACCAAUGGCGAAGGCAGCACUCUGGGACGUGACUGACGCUGAGACGCGAAAGCGUGGGGAGCAAACAGG